This 450-nucleotide ribosomal RNA is filed under the name uncultured bacterium. Its description in RNAcentral is "partial 16S ribosomal RNA". It matches the Rfam family "Bacterial small subunit ribosomal RNA", at positions 354 to 796 of the family's 1533-position model. The record is from RNAcentral.
GUGGGGAAUAUUCCGCAAUGGACGAAAGUCUGACGGAGCAACGCCGCGUGAGUGAUGAAGGUUUUCGGACUGUAAAGCUCUGUUGUUUAGGACGAAAGUGCCUGUUGCAAAUAGUUACAGGUAUUGACGGUACUGAACGAGGAAGCCACGGCUAACUACGUGCCAGCAGCCGCGGUAAUACGUAGGUGGCAAGCGUUGUCCGGAAUUAUUGGGCGUAAAGAGCAUGUAGGCGGGAAUCUAAGUCUGUUGUGAAAAUGCGGGGCUUAACCCCGUAUUGCGAUGGAAACUGGGUUUCUUGAGUGCAGGAGAGGAAAGGGGAAUUCCCAGUGUAGCGGUGAAAUGCGUAGAUAUUGGGAGGAACACCAGUGGCGAAGGCGCCUUUCUGGACUGUGUCUGACGCUGAGAUGCGAAAGCCAGGGUAGCGAACGGGAUUAGAAACCCGAGUAGUCC